Non-coding RNA from Parelaphostrongylus tenuis, 74 nucleotides. The record is from the annotation of a GenBank genome assembly. NCBI's taxonomy places the organism in Eukaryota, Metazoa, Nematoda, Chromadorea, Rhabditida, Metastrongylidae.
GCGUCGGUAGUGCACGGGCCAAAGUACGCUCCCUCUGAUAGGGUGAAGUGCGGGUUCAAGUCCCGCUUGACGCA